Molecule: regulatory RNA element, 28 nt
Rfam family: L19-Flavobacteria ribosomal protein leader
Source: Rfam
CAACCGCUGACGAAAAUCGUGGAUGUUG